UACGUAGGGUCCAAGCGUUAUCCGGAAUCACUGGGCGUAAAGCGUGCGUAGGCGGAUGUUUAAGUGUGAUGUUAAAUCGUGGGGCUCAACCCUGUCGUUGCAUCGCAUACUGGGCAUCUAGAGGACGGCAGUGGCAAGUGGAACUCGUAGUGUAGCAGUGAAAUGCGUAGAUAUUACGAAGAACACCAAUGGCGAAGGCAGCUUGCUGGGCCGACCCUGACGCUGAGGUACGAAAGCGUGGGGAGCGAACAGG
This 253-nucleotide ribosomal RNA is filed under the name uncultured bacterium. RNAcentral describes it as "partial 16S ribosomal RNA". It matches the Rfam family "Bacterial small subunit ribosomal RNA", at positions 524 to 776 of the family's 1533-position model. The record is from RNAcentral.